UACAGAGGGGGCAAGCGUUGUUCGGAAUUACUGGGCGUAAAGGGCUCGUAGGUGGCCAACUAAGUCAUACGUGAAAUCCCUCGGCUUAACCGGGGAACUGCGUCUGAUACUGGAUGGCUUGAGGUUGGGAGAGGGAUGCGGAAUUCCAGGUGUAGCGGUGAAAUGCGUAGAUAUCUGGAGGAACACCGGUGGCGAAGGCGGCAUCCUGGACCAAUUCUGACACUGAGGAGCGAAAGCCAGGGGAGCAAACGGG
RNAcentral lists this ribosomal RNA (253 nucleotides) under uncultured bacterium. RNAcentral's name for it is "partial 16S ribosomal RNA". It matches the Rfam family "Bacterial small subunit ribosomal RNA", at positions 524 to 776 of the family's 1533-position model. The record is from RNAcentral.